UUGACCUCGAAUCAUGUAGGAAUACCCGCUGAACUUUAGCCUAUCAAUAAGCGGAGGAAAAGAACCAACCGGGAUUACCUCAAGUACGGCGAGUUAAACCGCAAUUU
Molecule: ribosomal RNA, 107 nt
Filed under: Erysiphe hedwigii
Lineage: Eukaryota; Fungi; Ascomycota; Leotiomycetes; Helotiales; Erysiphaceae
Description: partial 28S ribosomal RNA
Rfam family: Eukaryotic large subunit ribosomal RNA
Source: RNAcentral